UAAAUUGUAGCCAAAAGUUGAGGCACUUAGCUGUUAACUAAGAAUUAAGGGGAUAGAUACCCUCCAGUUUAG
This 72-nucleotide transfer RNA is filed under the name Sarcophilus harrisii (Tasmanian devil). It matches the Rfam family "tRNA". From Rfam's summary of the family: Transfer RNA (tRNA) molecules are approximately 80 nucleotides in length. The record is from Rfam by way of RNAcentral. Lineage: Eukaryota; Metazoa; Chordata; Mammalia; Dasyuromorphia; Dasyuridae.